This 1187-nucleotide ribosomal RNA is filed under the name Enterococcus sp. RNAcentral's name for it is "bacterial SSU rRNA". It matches the Rfam family "Bacterial small subunit ribosomal RNA", at positions 38 to 1187 of the family's 1533-position model. The record is from RNAcentral. Lineage: Bacteria; Bacillati; Bacillota; Bacilli; Lactobacillales; Enterococcaceae.
GGCGGCUGCUAUACAUGCAGUCGUACGCUUCUUUUUCCACCGGAGCUUGCUCCACCGGAAAAAGAAGAGUGGCGAACGGGUGAGUAACACGUGGGUAACCUGCCCAUCAGAAGGGGAUAACACUUGGAAACAGGUGCUAAUACCGUAUAACAAUCGAAACCGCAUGGUUUUGAUUUGAAAGGCGCUUUCGGGUGUCGCUGAUGGAUGGACCCGCGGUGCAUUAGCUAGUUGGUGAGGUAACGGCUCACCAAGGCCACGAUGCAUAGCCGACCUGAGAGGGUGAUCGGCCACAUUGGGACUGAGACACGGCCCAAACUCCUACGGGAGGCAGCAGUAGGGAAUCUUCGGCAAUGGACGAAAGUCUGACCGAGCAACGCCGCGUGAGUGAAGAAGGUUUUCGGAUCGUAAAACUCUGUUGUUAGAGAAGAACAAGGAUGAGAGUAACUGUUCAUCCCUUGACGGUAUCUAACCAGAAAGCCACGGCUAACUACGUGCCAGCAGCCGCGGUAAUACGUAGGUGGCAAGCGUUGUCCGGAUUUAUUGGGCGUAAAGCGAGCGCAGGCGGUUUCUUAAGUCUGAUGUGAAAGCCCCCGGCUCAACCGGGGAGGGUCAUUGGAAACUGGGAGACUUGAGUGCAGAAGAGGAGAGUGGAAUUCCAUGUGUAGCGGUGAAAUGCGUAGAUAUAUGGAGGAACACCAGUGGCGAAGGCGGCUCUCUGGUCUGUAACUGACGCUGAGGCUCGAAAGCGUGGGGAGCAAACAGGAUUAGAUACCCUGGUAGUCCACGCCGUAAACGAUGAGUGCUAAGUGUUUGGAAGGUUUCCGCCCUUCAGUGCUGCAGCUAACGCAUUAAGCACUCCGCCCUGGGGAGUACGACCGCAAGGUUGAAACUCAAAGGAAUUGACGGGGGCCCGCACAAGCGGUGGAAGCAUGUGGUUUAAUUCGAAGCAACGCGAAGAACCUUACCAGGUCUUGACAUCCUUUGACCACUCUAGAGAUAGAGCUUCCCCUUCGGGGGCAAAAUGACAAGUGGUUGCAAGGGUUGUCCUCACCUCCUGUCCUGAGAAGAUUGGGGUUAAAUCCCCCCACCAAGCGCAACCCCUUAUUGUUAGUUUGCCCCCAUUCAAAUGGGGCCCCCUACCAAAAAAGGCCGGUGAGAAACCGAGGAGAGAGGGGGGGUGGAAGUCC